Molecule: ribosomal RNA, 357 nt
Filed under: uncultured bacterium
Lineage: Bacteria
Description: bacterial SSU rRNA
Rfam family: Bacterial small subunit ribosomal RNA
Source: RNAcentral
AUUGAACGCUGGCGGUAUGCUUAAGACAUGCAAGUCGAACGGUAACAGGCCUUCGGGCGCUGACGAGUGGCGGACGGGUGAGUAACACGUGAGAAUCUACCCAGUAGCGGGGGAUAAGCGGUGGAAACGCCGACUAAUACCGCAUACGCCCUACGGGGGAAAGGCUUCGGCCACUAUUGGAUGAGCCCGCGUCUGAUUAGCUAGUUGGUAAGGUAAAGGCUUACCAAGGCGACGAUCAGUAGCUGUUCUGAAGAGGAUGAUCCAGCCACAUUUGGGACUGAGACACGGCCCCAGACUUCCUACGGGAGGGCAGCAGUUCGGGAAUAUUGGACCAAUGGGCGAAAGCCUUGAUCCAGC